This 454-nucleotide ribosomal RNA is filed under the name uncultured Pelotomaculum sp. Its description in RNAcentral is "bacterial SSU rRNA". It matches the Rfam family "Bacterial small subunit ribosomal RNA", at positions 927 to 1382 of the family's 1533-position model. Lineage: Bacteria; Bacillati; Bacillota; Clostridia; Eubacteriales; Desulfotomaculaceae. The record is from RNAcentral.
AAGCGGUGGAGCAUGUGGUUAAUUCGACGCAACGCGAAGAACUUACCAGGGCUUGACAUCCCCUGACCGCGUAUGAAAGUACGUUUUCACCUCGGGUGACAGGGAGACAGGUGGUGCAUGGUUGUCGUCAGCUCGUGUCGUGAGAUGUUGGGUUAAGUCCCGCAACGAGCGCAACCCCUACGUUUAGUUGCUAACGCGUGAAGGCGAGCACUCUAGACGAACUGCCGUUGACAAAACGGAGGAAGGUGGGAUGACGUCAAAUCAUCAUGCCCCUUAUGUUCUGGGCUACACACGUGCUACAAUGGCCGGUACAGACGGACGCAAAGCCGCGAGGUGGAGCAAAUCCUAAAAAGCCGGUCUCAGUUCGGAUUGCAGGCUGCAAUUCGCCUGCAUGAAGUCGGAAUCGCUAGUAAUCGCAGGUCAGCAUACUGCGGUGAAUACGUUCCCGGGCCUU